RNAcentral lists this non-coding RNA (30 nucleotides) under Rattus norvegicus (Norway rat). The record is from RNAcentral. Lineage: Eukaryota; Metazoa; Chordata; Mammalia; Rodentia; Muridae.
UGGCACUGAGAAAGCCCUUGGGUACCCAGC